This 1348-nucleotide long non-coding RNA is filed under the name Androctonus crassicauda. The record is from RNAcentral. Lineage: Eukaryota; Metazoa; Arthropoda; Arachnida; Scorpiones; Buthidae.
AUGCAGUCAUCAAUAUUCAUCAUUUAAUAACGUGUCAUUUGAAUAUUUAUUAUUUCCAAUAUAUGAUACUAACGUGAAUUAACGCUGUAGGUCUUCUUUACUCGUCUUUCUGAUUUGUAUAUAAAGAUGAACGAUAUGUUUUAUCUAUUUAGGUCAUUGAAGUUGACGUGUUAACUACUGUUGAUAAAUAUGCUUAAAACUGACAGUUUGUCUCCUCACUCACGCUAUCAAUAACCUGAAGCUGUAUGCACUUUUUCAUUUUAUCAUUUGUACUACAAACUUAUUUUACUUGUAAUAAUAAAGCGAUCACAAGAUGUUCGAAGAAAACUGUAUUGAAAUUAACCACCAGAUCAAACAUGAAUAAAUUUUUAAUUAUGUAAUAUAGAUUAAUUCCAAUGCUUUUAACCGUUGGUAAAAUCAUCAACAUAUUUCGAUAUAUUUUUAGUUCUUUAUAUUAAUAGCAAAUAGAUAUAAGUAAACUAAAAUUAUUUAAUGCGACUACGAUAUCGUAGACGAAUAACUACUUACUGCAUUUAUUAAUACAGUAAUUUUGAAUAAUGGUAGAGGGCACCACAGUUAUUGAUUUCAUAUUGAACUUUAUGAAUUUGGUUCCCAGUUGUAUUUAUAUUUGAUAUUUAAUAACUUCUCGAAUCGAACGAUUUAGUCAAUCAUAGCAGGCGCCGUCUGAUACAAAGUAGCAGGUACCGAGGUAGUGUAUAGGUACUCCAGUAGAAAUGCGAGAAGGGGCUCUAGAAUAUUGCUUUCGUUGGUAGUUUCCGACCUUUAGUGGUGUGAAUGUACACAUAAUCGAUAUUUUACAAAUUUACAAAUCGAUUAAUAAGAAUGUAUCAGAUUUCAGUAUGUCUAUAAAAUAUUCGUUUGGCUUUUAAUUAAUGUAGUACGUUGGAUUUUAUAUAAGAUCUUAAUGGAUUUUAACAAUUUAUCUACUGAUCAGAAAUCUAUACUAAUAUCUGAUGGAAGGAUAAUUAUAUUUCGAAUGUUGUGAAGAAAUGGGGGUUAUUUUUAUCUUACCGAACGUACCCAGUUCGCUGGUCGGAAAGAAUCAUAUGUUUCCCCUCUGUCUGCAAUGCACCCAAGUGAAGAAGGUGCGCGUAAAGGAUGCUGGGAACUGCAGCUGGUUUGAAAAAUACACCCGAAGUGCCUGCGUGUUAAGCAGUGGUACCGCCAUGUUGUACUCUGUUAAAGGCCAAGGCCAAUGUGCGAAGAUGUCAAAGAAUACAGCCAAUGGCCUUGUGUCAUGUUGUUGACCAGGCUUUAUGGGCAACUUUAUGUGAUGGGAGAGUGAAGAGACUAUCUGAUUACACCUCCGUGAAAACUAAUUCAAAGG